RNAcentral lists this ribosomal RNA (498 nucleotides) under uncultured bacterium. Its description in RNAcentral is "partial 16S ribosomal RNA". It matches the Rfam family "Bacterial small subunit ribosomal RNA", at positions 28 to 523 of the family's 1533-position model. The record is from RNAcentral.
GAUGAACGCUGGCGGCGUGCCUAAUACAUGCAAGUCGAACGCUUCACUUCGGUGAAGAGUGGCGAACGGGUGAGUAAUACAUAAGUAACCUGGCAUCUACAGGGGGAUAACUGAUGGAAACGUCAGCUAAGACCGUAUAGGUGUAGAGAUCGCAUGAACUCUAUAUGAAAAGUGCUACGGGACGGGUAGAUGAUGGACUUAUGGCGCAUUAGCUGGUUGGUAGGGUAACGGCCUACCAAGGCGACGAUGCGUAGCCGACCUGAGAGGGUGACCGGCCACACUGGGACUGAGACACGGCCCAGACUCCUACGGGAGGCAGCAGUAGGGAAUUUUCGGCAAUGGGGGAAACCCUGACCGAGCAACGCCGCGUGAAGGAAGAAGUAAUUCGUUAUGUAAACUUCUGUCAUAGAGGAAGAACGGUGGAUAUAGGGAAUGAUAUCCAAGUGACGGUACUCUAUAAGAAAGCCACGGCUAACUACGUGCCAGCCGCCGCAGUAA